Molecule: ribosomal RNA, 254 nt
Filed under: uncultured bacterium
Lineage: Bacteria
Description: partial 16S ribosomal RNA
Rfam family: Bacterial small subunit ribosomal RNA
Source: RNAcentral
UACGGGGGGAGCAAGCGUUGUUCGGAUUUACUGGGCGUAAAGGGCGCGUAGGCGGCCACCGCAAGUCGGUUGUGAAAUCUCCGGGCUUAACCCGGAACGGUCAAUCGAUACUGCGGGGCUAGAGUGCAGAAGGGGCAACUGGAAUUCUCGGUGUAGCGGUGAAAUGCGUAGAUAUCGAGAGGAACACCUGCGGCGAAGGCGGGUUGCUGGGCUGACACUGACGCUGAGGCGCGAAAGCUAGGGGAGCGAACGGG